This 548-nucleotide ribosomal RNA is filed under the name uncultured bacterium. Its description in RNAcentral is "bacterial SSU rRNA". It matches the Rfam family "Bacterial small subunit ribosomal RNA", at positions 355 to 896 of the family's 1533-position model. The record is from RNAcentral.
UAGGGAAUCUUCCGCAAUGGGCGAAAGCCUGACGGAGCAACGCCGCGUGAGUGAAGAAGGAUUUCGGUUCGUAAAGCUCUGUUGUUAGGGAAGAAUGAUUGUGUAGUAACUAUACAUAGUAGAGACGGUACCUAACCAGAAAGCCACGGCUAACUACGUGCCAGCAGCCGCGGUAAUACGUAGGUGGCAAGCGUUGUCCGGAAUUAUUGGGCGCAAAGCGCGCGCAGGUGGUUUAAUAAGUCUGAUGUGAAAGCCCACGGCUCAACCGUGGAGGGUCAUUGGAAACUGUUAAACUUGAGUGCAGGAGAGAAAAGUGGAAUUCCUAGUGUAGCGGUGAAAUGCGUAGAGAUUAGGAGGAACACCAGUGGCGAAGGCGGCUUUUUGGCCUGUAACUGACACUGAGGCGCGAAAGCGUGGGGAGCAAACAGGAUUAGAUACCCUGGUAGUCCACGCCGUAAACGAUGAGUGCUAAGUGUUGGUCUCAUAAGAGAUCAGUGCUGCAGCUAACGCAUUAAGCACUCCGCCUGGGGAGUACGACCGCAAGGUUG